RNAcentral lists this long non-coding RNA (12039 nucleotides) under Triticum aestivum (bread wheat). RNAcentral describes it as "long non-coding RNA (TAES_LNC026719)". Lineage: Eukaryota; Viridiplantae; Streptophyta; Magnoliopsida; Poales; Poaceae. The record is from RNAcentral.
UGAUACAUGACGCUGAAACUAUCAUGGCUCAACACAAGAGCUGCCAAGCACAAACAACUAACAAGACCACGAAAUCCGACUUGAUACAAUGCUAGUAAGUUGAAAUUCCCUGGAUCAGGUAUUCAAAAGCAUCUUGCUACAUUAUAGAGACUUGGCUAGAAUAAGACACAGUAAGUUGUUUUAGGUAACAUAUAAACACUGCCGACGGCAUUUAUGGAAUGCGACAAAUUCAGUGACAACUAACAUCUGCAGCAGCCCUUCUUCACCUGGGAAAAACAAAAGCACUAAUCUGUUACUAACUUGAUACAGACGCAGAUAUAAAUUCUAACAGUAACAUAUAGGAGUAUAUAACAGUGUAUGAACAAGACAUGUGUACAAACUCAUGGUCAGCACUGCAACACAAAGAAGAGCUAUACAAUACCCCCACCCUCACCCCCUAAAAAGGAAGAGCUAUAUCAUAUUGCUGACUAUAUCUCCUCGAAAUACAGAUGGCAACAAAGUAAAUCUUCCAACCUUAUCACAUGAAUGUGAGGUGAUGGAGUUGAAUGACGCAGCUGAUGCUUGUAGUAACGAAAUUGGCAACUAAUAUAUAUUGAUUGCAACUUAUAGAUUAUGAAACAGCUAAACCAAAGGGGAACUCUGGGGAUACAACGUCUGCAUAUCAUUUAUGAUCCAAAAAAGAGCAAUUUUUUACUUAGCAUCACCACCAUUUUAAUUUUUUUCUGCGUUAUUAGCAUGUCUGAAUCCCUAUAGUCGAAUGGACAGUAGUUUGAGGAUACAUGCUACCCACACUGGCCAUCAAAUAUUUUCCAAAGUGAAAAUCAAACAGUUCAAUUCUCAGAAACUAUAUUCAGAAGAUUCUUACCUGUUACCAUUUCAGCACAUUAGAAGAUCAAACCAAACUACCACCUUGUGUAUCAUGCAUCAUGUCAGCUCCAUCAAAUCCACCAGCAAUAGAUGUGCCUAGAAGCAUAAGGCAAUCAUUUAAUAAAGUUUCAACAAAAAUAUAAAUGGAUAUGAGAAGGCAACAGUGAGUAUAUUACAUAGAUGAAUUGACAAAUAUAAGAAAAAUAUGCACUCUUGUAUUUACGUUUUACAACUAACUAGUAAGAAAUAAAACUAUAUAUGUUGCUUUUUGCAAGGAAUAUUCAUUUAAACAAUAUACAUAUACAUACGUAUCUCAUAAUAAAGUUUAGCUUAUAAGAAAGAUAGACAUGGCCUAGCAUUGAUCUCAUUUAACUCAUCACUCCUCAUUUCAAGAAGACAAAAUAGAAACAUGCGAAAACUCAUAAACAAUACCGGGAAAAGUGAUCUUGGGUAUUCAAAUUAAGUAAACAGAGCAUGCUUAGAGACAACAAAUGCGGAAAAAAGGUGUGUUGCAUAAGUCACUUGCAGGACGAAUACAACUACGUUGAAUGAUAACACAAAGAAGGCCAUAAGCUUGUCUAUCUAGGAAAUGAAUAUGAAGCAUGAAGACAAAUAUAUUGAAUGAUAACAUAUAUUAAACAAUAUAGCUAUAAGUUUGUCUAUCUAGCAAAUGGACGGUAACUAAGUUUAAGCCGUUACACUUGAGAAUCGCAACAGGAGGUAUUCGAACAUGCAUGUACAGAACACACCGAGAUUAAGUUACUCCGACAAUACGAGGACUAAGGAUGAAAAAUCACCUGGAGGAUAGAAACUGGUGAAAGAAUGAUAGCGAGUUAAAUAACCGUUUUCACAAAGUUUUUUAGGCUUCAUCGACUUAAGUUGAACCUUAUAGGCACCACAGCCCACAGAUAGAAGUAUUUCAUCACUAUCCUCAAGGGAUCCCAAUAUACGUCUCACAACUGCCCUCUUUCCUUGAAUCUGUUUAGGGAGCCCAAUAAUCAUACGCAUAUCAAUUGUUUUCCAUAGCACCCAUGUGGCAACACCAUGAAAAUUGAUAUUCCUCUGCCACAUUUGUAAGUGAGGGUAAGACAAUAUGGCGAACCCAAUCACGCCAUCCCCAGCCUGGAUGAUGCAAUGACUACCAUGGCGAAAAUCAUUUGUAAGAGGAGGCCCCCUAAUCACAGCUAGGCUCUGCUCAUCCAAAUCAAACUUAAGUAUAUCAUUGCCUAUAGAAUCCAACAACCAGUAAAGGGCAUUACCAACAAGCAACCCAGGGGUAUGUUCGUAAAAAAGCUCAAAUGAAACGGUUGAUGGAAUGAUAUCACCCCAUUCACCAAUCUCCGAGGAGUAAACACACGCGAUAGGUUGAUUAUUCCCUCCGAAAACGGAGAUCAACACCACAUUGAAUGGGCUCAAGUGGCAGCUUCCGUGCACGUGGUCAUGGUCGAUGGCAGCACAGAGCACAGCCCCGGUGAACCGGUUCCUUACGAACUCUGCCGGAACGGUCAAGCGGUGCUGCUCGCCGGUGAUAGGUGCGCACAUGAUGACCUCAUCCCAUAGUGUGUCCAUGAGAAGGACGCGGCCGUGGCGGCAAUCAAGCAGUUCCACCAUCCACAUGUUGUGGCUGUCGGUGUCCAGGAGAUGCAGGUCGAAACGACUUGGAGGGAUUCGGUCGGGACGGUCCAUGACGGGGGUGAAGACGAUAUCAUCCUUGCGGCGGUGGAAGAGGCCGAGGAGGGGCGGCUUCCGGUGGUGGAGGCGGAAGCGGCGGAGGAACUUGGGGUCGGUGGCCGCGCACCGCCACUGCUUGCAGACCGCGGAGGCCCGGACGAGCAAGGAGGGCUGCGGCGGGAGAUGAAGGAGGAUCUCCCUCAGGAGGUCGUCGUCUUCGAUCGGCGACGCCAGCGCCGGCGGGAAGACUCCGCGGCGGCAGAUCACUUCAGCGCCCUCGCUAGUCGCGCGGAUCUGGGAACGGGAGCGGCGGCGAGCCACUCCGGCAACCUCCUCGCUCGCGUGAAGCUGGGGAUGGCGGCGGGUCACUCCGACGGCCUCGUCACUCGCCUGGGUUUGGGGCCUGCGGCGGCGGCGGCCGCCGUCCUCGCUCUCUUUCAUUUGGGCGGCGGCGGCAAGACCUAGCUAGCGACACCACACCACACAGGGAGUAACGGGGAGCGGAGUGGUGAGAGUAGCAGAGACGAGUUCACCGUGCACUCGGACUUAGUGGUUGUGUUGGGCCCCCGUUGUGUUCACCCGAUAGCUGCAUCUGCAAAAUGGGCAACAAAUCUUUUUCUACAGCUUCGUCAAACAUUUCUCUUUGUUGUAGCGCAGAAAAAGGAAUAUAUCCAUUUUAUUAUAUUAUUGCACACAACCUAACAAAACAAACACAUGAGUCAAUCUGAAGUCAUCUUCCUAACAACUAUUGUCCCCACAUCUACAAUCUUGAUGACGUGCCCUUACCACAUAUCAACACUACAUUUAUUCCGGUGGCCACAAGCAGCCCGCUGGCAGACGGAGAGAACCAACAGUUCUAGUUAGACCCUCUGCACACCGUAGGUGCACACUCUACGAUCGGUUGCUGCCAUCUUCCAUCGUCCCACCUUCAGGAGUGAUCAGUGUAUCCACAUCGUUAGGCCAUAUUGUUGUCGAUGACACCGCAAUGCCAGACGACACCAACAUCCUGCACGUAUCCAUCCACACGCGCCCGUCACUGAAACUUGGCUACACCAUGCCCCCGAGAUCCGCCUUCGGCCUUUCGGUAGAUGUAACACCGCUCCUCCUCUUGUCCCCUCCAGCCAGCACUUGCUCCAAAAUGAUGCCUCCAGGAGGGAGAACAUCACCGAAUGCGCCAUCCUCGUCCAAUCCGGUGGACCCAGAUCUAGGGUUUCCCCUAGAACAUCCCGAUCAAGUUGACGUGACCUACAACGACAAUGACUCGAGAAAGAAACGACGUCAGAGAUGCCGCCAUUGUCCGCCAAGACCGCAGUUAAGCGCGAUUUUCACCGGAAGCCGCGUCGUCCCGAUCUCGCGGCUGGCUAGAACCACGCGGAACCUCGCCAUGAAGACGUAUGUCACCGCCAGUCUCCGGCAGGCAUCCUCCAUCCCCUCACCGAACCCCUCAUCGCGUCGCCGACCAUCCAUGUGAAGAACUGACGAUGAAUCUGGGUGGGAUCCAGAUCCAUGGCCGCCGACAUGCCCACCAUCGCUAGAGAACUCAUCGGUUCCAGGCGACUAUGGGGGCUAGCACCGUCGCCACACGACCAGGGGCGCCGCCCUGGCCGCUGUGCACGUGCUCCUCCAUGGACUCGCCCGAGUAGAUCCAUGAGGGUCGCCGCCGCAUCCAACCCCCCAACCCCUUAGGUGUUGGGCCCGCCGCCACCGCGGCCUAUGCCAGCAUCGGCGGAGGGGAGGUCGCGUUGUGGUUGGCUGUUGGCGUGCUUGAGAUCGCUCCCAGCGCGCCCUGGGGAGGCAUCGCGUGGGGGUCGCAAGAGGUUGCUUGAGGUAGCGCAGCUAGCUAAGGACCAUUUUGAGACAUACUCCCUUCGUAAAGAAAUAUAAGAGCAUCAUGUAAUAUUUUGCUUUUGGCUGUUGCUGCUGAUAGGGAAAAAAAUUCUAUAAGACCGGGUCUUACGGAUUAGCAGGUGAGACUCAUACUGAUGAAUGACAUGUGGCAUUCACAAAUCACAAAGCAUUUAUCCCACCCCCAUCUAAAAUCAGGGGAGAGAUUAGAUGCUUUGUGAUUCGUGAAUGCCACGUGUCAUCCAUCAGGACGGGUCUCACCUACUUUAUAUGAGACCUGGUCUUAUAUAAUUUUUUUCCCUGCUGAUAGUAUUUGUUUUCUGUUAUGCCAAGAACGUUUAAAGUAAAUAUGAACCGAUAGGCAAGGAUUUUGCAUCUUUCAACAAAAGAAAAGAAAAAGCUUCAGACCCAGCCCGUCAUUUAUGAACUCUUAAUAUGGCUGUCAUUAAGAUCCUAUAGAAUAAAUUUAGUUCUUCUGCUGUAUCUUGUAAUAUUAAUGCUUUUUCAUGUAAAAUUAACUCAAGAGAAGCGGCUUUAGAUUGUACUAAUUUGGAAAGAUACAGCAUACAAGUGUUCUACUCAUUUCAUUUGGCACAUGAUACAACAGACAAAUAUUUUACUCUAGAUAAGCGGCCUCAUAUUUCCGUUCUCCUUCUCCAUUUUUCUAUUUUAAAAUUUUUAAAGUUCAUGAAUAUUUUAAAUUUGAAUAAACCGACCGGAAUAAGAAAAAAAAACCAACCAAGCACGCUAUGUAUGACUGUAGUCAACGGGAGGACGUCCACGGCCAACCACGAAGACUAUAUCUCGCUUCGCGCGAGUGUAGCUUCCGUCUCGCUUGAAGGUUUUUGUUCCCUCGUCAUAACUGGGCUGGCCCGUUUCAUUGCUUUACAAGCCAAAGCAAUCCUUUGAUGUUCAUAUUCGCAUCAAUAACUGUUAGAAUAUAUAACCGUAUUGUUUUGUAUAUAUAGGUGUACGAUAUGAACUUUGCCUUGUAUUGUACGAUAUGAACUUUGCCUUGUAACCUCUAUAUAUUGAUCAAUACAAGGCACCACAACGUGUGGUUUCCAUAAUCUUACAUGGUAUAGAGCCUAAAACCCUAACCCUAGCCUGUGCCGCCCUCCUCCUUCCGCUGCCACCGAAACCACCGCCCCUCUCACCGCCGUGCCCACACCGCCACCUCCAUGUUGCAGCCCGACACGGACACGACGAACCAGGCGCUGGCCGCGGCCAAGGAGCAUCAGGACGCCGAGGCCGAGGCCGCCAAGGCCAAGCUGCCUCUCGCGACCGAUGCCGAUGGAUCCGGGACGAGUGCGGGGUGCUUCUCCUUGACCUUGCUCCAUGCCCAAGCCGUCGGCCUGCACUCCAUUAAGGGACACAUUCCCGUCGAGCUCGCGCUUGACACCGGUGUUCACCGUCAGUGGCACACCUUCUUCCGCGCCGCCUGCCGCAAGUAUGCCCUCCUGGAUCACCUCGACUUUGACGCCCCCAACGCGUCGACCCCGGACUGGUCUCUCCUCGACGCCACCAUCGUCUCUUGGCUCUAUGAGUCUGUCUCGCUCAGCAUCCUCGAUGAUGUCAUGACGCCCGAUGACGAUCCACUCACCGUCGAACUCUGGAAUAGCAUCAACAGACUCUUCAACGACCAUAAGAUCAAUUGUCAGCUCCACCUCACGGCCGAGCUCGACGAUGUCAAGAUGGGAGAGAUGAGCAUGGCCGACUAUCUUCAGAAGGUCAAGUCCCUCUCCGAUGGGCUUGCGGAUCUUGGCGCCCCCGUUGAUGAUGCCGAGAUGGUGGUCCACUGCCUCAACGGCCUCUCCGAGCAAUACAAGUCCGCCGCCGAUCUAAUCUCCCUCAUGCUCGAUAUGACCUUCGCGCAGUGCUGCUCGUUGCUUGCGCUCCAGGACAUGAAGCGCAAAAAUCGCCGCCCGCGCAACUCGUACACGGCCUUCUUCACCAACACCGCCACUGGCAACCCUGGCAAGGCCUCUGGAAAAGGAAAGAAGAAGAAGAAGGCCGCCGCUGGAGUCGCCAAGGAGACCAUCCCGGCGCCCGCGACACCGCCGGCUGCCACUCCUUCCUGGCCCUCGCCACAGCAUCCCUGGAACGGUGCCAUCCAGAUGUGGCCAUAUGGCCAAGGGGGUCUGCUCGGCCGUGCACCGCCCGGCUACGCCUCGGCUCCCAGCUAUGCGCCCCGGCACACCCCAUCGCCGCAUGCGUUAUAUGCUCAGAACCCGUACAGCAUUGCCCCCUACGGUAACGGCUACGCCCCUGGACAGCCCUCCUACGGACUCACCGGCCCGGCUCCAUCAUCACCGGCAUCGACAACGGCUUCAUGGGACCAGGCCGCGCUCAUGCAUCAGUUCUAGACCAUGGGGCUGCAAGCACACACCAGGGAGUGGGUGAUGGACACUGGCGCCUCCUCCCACUUCGUGUCCGAUCCCGGUAUGCUCACCUUCGUGUCUCCCCCUCCUCUCAUUGUGCUGUCAUUGUCGGUAACGGUUCCACCCUUCCAAUCACCAGUACCGGGCAUGCACGUCUUCCUAUCUCCACCACCUCUCGUCCCCUUUAUCUUCGUAAUGUCUUAGUGGUUCCUAACAUAGUUAAAAACCUUUUGUCUGUUCGCCAGUUCACCAUUGAUAAUCGUGUAUCCAUCGAAUUUGACCCUCUUGGUUUUUCUGUAAAGGAUCUUCUAACCAGGACCGAGAUUCUCAGAUGCAAUAGCUUCAGCGCUCUCUACUCCAUCUGUCCUUCCUCUACCAGCCAGCAACAUGCCUUCCUCGUCGUCGAUGCAGCACUCUGGCACCGUCGGCUUGGACAUCCUGGGCGACCCGUCAUGGAGUCAUUAGCUCGUUCUUCGAUCAUCCCUAGGGAAAAGAAUAAAAGUAGUUUGUGUCAUGCUUGUCAGUUAGGUCGUCACGUUCGUCUUCCUUUUUCUUCCACCAAUUGUGUAACCACUACUCUGUUUCAAAUAAUUCACUAUGAUCUGUGGACAUCUCCUGUUGAGAGUAUUUCUGGCUUUAAGUAUUAUCUCAUUUUGUCUCGAUAAUUUUACUCAGUAUGCAUGGGUUUACCCUCUUCGGUCUAAGUCAGAAGCUUUCUUGCACUUAUCGUCCCUUCAUGCUUUAGCGCUCACCCAGUUUAGUGCACGCUUGCGGGCUAUUUAGUGUGAUAAUGGUCGUGAGUUCGAUAGUUCACUCCUCCAUUCAUUUUCCCAUCACCAUGGAAUUGCACUCUGCUUUUCAUGUCCAUACACUUCGCAACAGAAUGGUAAAGCCGAACGUAUUAUUCGUACUCUUAAUGACAUUACUCGUACACUCCUCAUCCAAGCUAGCAUGUCACCUCGUUUCUGCGUCGAAGCUCUUCACACCGCUGUUAUGUUGCAUAAUCGACUGCCUUCCAAGGCAAUCUCGGAUCGCAUUCCCUUUCGUGCCUUACUUCGCGUGGAUCCUCCAUAUGCUGGUCUUCGGGUUUUCGGUUGUCUAUGUUACCGCAACACCACCGCCGUUGCUCCGCACAAACUUGCGCCUCGCUCCAUGCCAUGCGUGUUUCUAGGGUACCCAUCACGUCAUCAUGGCUAUCGUUGCCUUGAUCGCUCCACCCAAAAGAUCAUCAUCUCCCGCCAUGUAGUGUUGAUGAGUCAGGCUUUCCCUUUGCCUCCACUCCAUCUUCGUCAACUCCUACUCCUUCCAUGCACACUUAUGAUUUUUUGCAGGGUACUGAGCAGCCGGUGUCGUUGAUGCCGUUCACCGUGCCAGGCACAGCAAUCUCGGACGCGACCCCACGGUCGCCGUCACGAUCGCCGCCACCGACCUCGCCUAUGUCGCCGCCACUGACCUCGCCUCGGUCGCCUGGGGAACGGGCUUCUGUCGAGCGCCCUACCGGGGGCCUUGAUGGCGGCCCUGCUAGGAGUCCUUCUCCUGCUGCAGCAGCGUCACCACCGGCCACGUCGUCGCCAGCUCCUGCUGCUGUGGAUCCACCCCGGACCCGCCGGCCGCGGGGUCCCCCACCGCCACCAUCUCACCCCAUGGCCACUCGUGCUAAACAUGGUAUUGUGCAGCCGAAAAAGAUUUUUGAUCUUCAUGUUGAGGGUUUAUCUCCAAUACCGAAGACUUAUCGUGGUGUUCUCAAGGAUCCAAACUAGCAUUCCGCUAUGGUUGAGGAGUAUGGUGCUCUUCUCUCCAACAACACUUGGGACCUCGUUGAUCCACCUCGCAAUGCUAACAUCGUUACUGGUAAGUGGAUCUACCAUCACAAGAUGAAGUCUGAUGGUUCUUUGGAUCGCUACAAAGCUCGUUGGGUGCUCUGUGGAUUUACUCAGCACGAAGGUAUCGAUUUUGAUGAAACUUUCAGCUCUGUCAUCAAGCCAGCCACUAUUCGCACAGUGCUCUCUCUAGUGAUUGGUCGAUUCAUCAGCUUGACAUCAAGAAUGCGUUCCUCAACGGCUCUCUCACCAAGACUGUUUAUGCUCGUCAGCCUUCUGGUUUCACUGAUCCUCGCUUCCCUGAUAAGGUUUGCCGCCUCAACAAAUCACUCUAUGGUUUGAAACAGACGCCUCGAGCAUGGUUUCAGCGGUUUGCUUCAUUCAUUGCAUCAGUUGGUUUCGUUGGCUCCAAGUCUGACAGCUCGUUGUUCGUCUAUCAGCGUGGCGCUGACAUGGCCUACCUCCUGCUCUAUGUGGAUGACAUCAUCCUGACUGCGUCUUCCUCGACAUUGUUGCAUAGUUUGAUUGCCUCUCUUUGUACCGAGUUCAGUAUGACAAAUAUGGGUGAUCUUCAUUGCUUUCUGGGCAUCUCUAUCACACGCAGCAAGGACGGUUUGUUCCUCUCACAGGAGAAGUAUGCAUUGGAUCUUCUUGACCAAGCUGGCAUGUUGCAGCGCAAACCCAUCUCUACUCCCGUUGAUACUUCCUCCAAACUUUCAGCCAAGUCCAGUGAUCCAGUUGCAGAACCCACCGAGUAUCAAAGUAUUGCAGGCGGUCUUCAGUACCUCAUAUUCACUCGGCCAGACAUCUCUUAUGCUGUGCAGCAGAUUUGUCUUCAUAUGCAUGAUCCUCGGGCUAAUCAUUUGCUCCUUGUGAAGCGUGUGCUUCGCUUCAUCCGCGGCAUCACAUGGCCUCACUUUGUUUCGACGCAGCUGCAACAAAUUGAUGGCCUACUCUGACGUUGACUGGGCAGGUUGCCCUGACACUCGCCGGUCUACAUCUGGUUAUUGUGUCUUCCUCGACACUAACCUGGUAUCAUGGUCUGCUAAGCGGCGGCACACGGUCUCUCGCUCUAGCGCCGAGGCCGAAUACAGGGCAGUUGCAAAUGUAGUGGCUGAAACAUGUUGGUUACGGCAACUUCUUCAGGAGCUUCGUCGAUCGGUGACUGGUGUCACUGUGGUGUUUUGUGACAAUGUGAGCUCUGUUUACAUGACAGAGAAUCCCUUUCAUCAUCAACGCACCAAGCAUGUGGAGAUCGAUCUACACUUCGUACGAGACCGUGUCACCACGGGCGAGGUCCGGGUUCUUCACGUUUCGAGUUCUUCACAAUUUGCGGACAUUUUCACCAAAGGAUUGCCAUCCCCUCUCUUCUUGGAUUUUUGGGACAGUCUUAACAUUCGUGGACGCCCAUUUAUGAUUGAGGGAGGGUUUUAGGAUAUAUAACCGUAUUGUUUUGUGUAUAUAUAUAUAUAUAUAUAUAUAUAUAUAUAUAUAUAUAUAUAUAUAUAUAUAUAUAUAUGCGUAGUCCUUGUAUAGGUGUUCGUAUAUUGUACGAUACGAACUCUGCCUUGUAACCUCUAUAUAUUGAUCAAUACAAGGCACCACAACGUGUGGUUUCCCUAAUCUUACAAUAACAAAAUUUCCUAGAUUUGUAAGAACAAAGUUGUGCUCUAUGUUGAUCACUGCAUUCUUAGUACCUUCUAGGACUUUGAUAAUCUCAGACAUUUGAGUCCUUCUCUUGCAAUCAAUCUGUAGAUACCACAUUGCAAGCUUUAUCAUAUGAACUACUUCUUGCUCAUGUGGUUGCAUGUCGUUAAGUUCUUGUCAAUCAAAUUUACCAACUGAUCAGUCUUAACUUUUUCAUCAAAUAGGGUAAUAAGAUGGAUGCUCUCUUCAAACCGGGAAGUGUCGAGUUUCUUUCUUCCACUGGCAAUUUCCAUGAUCACAAUGCCAAAGCUAUAAACACCGUCCUUCUCUGGAGGCCAUAGUCUGGAGUGAAUAUCAGUGAUCAGUUUGGAAUGAGACUUACGCGCCGAAGCAGUAGCAGCUCCAGGGCUGGAUGUCUUUUUGAGUGGUUGAUCUAGCCGCCCAUUAAUAAGUUGUAAGUCAUGCCUUUUGAAGUGACCAUCAUGAAGGUCUAACUGAAUUUCAUUUUUUUUAUAUAAGAGGGAAAGAAUGGACUAUGGACACGUUUCUGCAAUAAUGCAGCUUAUGUUUCAGCAGAAUGACUCAAAUCCAGAGCUUUUUGAACAAUUUUUCCUGCACAAUGAGAGAACCGUUGUACAAUAGUGUCACCAAAAGAGGGAACAAUAUGGCUUCCAAAACGUUAUGACAAAUUUAAAAGCUAAAUAAAUAUGAACCUUUUCCUGUUGCCACCUAAAUAUAAAACGCUAAACAAAUGAAGUCAUUUUUUGUUCCAUUUGACAGCUAGAGGAUUUUGCUAUAAUUCCAAUCAGAAUAUUUAGGAUUUUUUCGUUUGCAAGCUGUGUGCAAUGGAGGAGAGCAUCAUCAGUCACACUGACUGCACCUAGGGGAAUAGUUGGCUGCAUGCCUGCAUUGCACCGGGAAGGUCCAGAACUCUGCUCUCUUGACUUUGGAACAAUAUAUCAUACUCCAAAUCAGAUGGUUACAGCGAUGGGAUGCUUGUGUUGGAAACGACGAGUAACUCAGAUGAGGCGUUCAGUUCAGGUUGAGGAGCUACCAGUGCAAGCAAGCCGCACAGCAUAAAUGGCAAUACCUUCGGAUCUGAACAGUUUUGAAACAAUAACACAUUAGUACUACUGAAACGCAUACUAGACUGCUGUAGAAAGUUCAGCCAGUCAAAACUCACAUGCACAUAUAUGGACGGGAGAAAGCUUGCCAUCAGCAGGAAACCGGUAUCCAUCUGAAUCUACAGGAAAUUAAUGGGAGCUUGUCAAUCAAACUGUAAAAACCCACAACUACAUGUUUUUUUUUCUUUGAGGAUACAACUCUGUGUUUAAUUCCACUUGCCAACAAGGAAGCUACUCACAGCAGUUUCAGUUGUCCAGUUCCUACCAUUCCGGGUAUCUUCAGCACCAAAUAGCUGAGUACGCUGGCUCAUAUGAACCAUUACAUGGCACUGACUCACUUCCAAGACAAGAAAGUAGACAAGCUGACAAGCACACUCAAACAAACAAGUUUCAGUGAUACAUGGCACUGAAACUAUCAUGGCUCAACAGAAGACCUGCCAGCCAAGCACAAACACUUAACAAGAACAAGAGACGAUGAAAUCCAACUUGAAAUAACACUAGUAAGCUGAAUUUCCUGGAUCAGGUAUUCAAAAGUAUCUUGCUACACUAGAGACUUGGCUAGACUAAGACACGGUAAGUUGUUUUAGAUAACAUAUAAACACUGCCGACAACAUUGAUGGAAUGCGACAAACUCAGUGACAACUAACAUCUCCAGCAGCCCUUCUUCACCUGGGGAAAACAAAA